RNAcentral lists this long non-coding RNA (586 nucleotides) under Androctonus crassicauda. Lineage: Eukaryota; Metazoa; Arthropoda; Arachnida; Scorpiones; Buthidae. The record is from RNAcentral.
AUCGGCCCGGUUCUACAGAUAUGGGCAGAGUGACAGCCGGUAAGCCCUCUCACCACGUCAAGGUGGGUGCACUCGAGAGGGCCGGGUCCUCCGAGACAAAACUGAUCCGAACAAUUUAAUAUUUUCCAGGAAUAGAUGUCGGUGAAAAAAGCGUAAUAUUGGAUAACAGUGGCCUUUGGCGAUUGUAAUAAAUCAGCUGUAGUACUAAUCCUGUCGAGAUUAAUGAAAUGUAGAGCGAGAACAAAUACUUCUUCAAAUGACAAAGAUGUCGAUUCAAAAAAAUAUUCCAUUUGUGACAGAUUUAGAAGCGCGACAUUUCGAGCAUCUAAAAUGGUGCGUUUCUUUAUGCAGCGGCUGUAUAGCGCUCUACUGCUAAUCGUUUCUAAAUUAAGCGCUGCACUGCGACGAACCGUUUCUAAAAUCUUCGCUGCAAGAUGUCGCUACAGCGGAUGUAAAGCACGUUUUUACCUGGCUUGACGAGUAAAGCAAAAUGGCGGAAAAUUGUACGAAUGAAAUACACUUUUUAUGUGGAGAUUAAAAAAAUAUUAAUAUAAAAAGUAAUAUACAUUAGUGCUUAGAACUUAAC